Molecule: ribosomal RNA, 497 nt
Filed under: uncultured bacterium
Lineage: Bacteria
Description: partial 16S ribosomal RNA
Rfam family: Bacterial small subunit ribosomal RNA
Source: RNAcentral
GAUGAACGCUGGCGGCGUGCCUAAUACAUGCAAGUCGAGCGAACGGACGAGAAGCUUGCUUCUCUGAUGUUAGCGGCGGACGGGUGAGUAACACGUGGAUAACCUACCUAUAAGACUGGUAUAACUUCGGGAAACCGGAGCUAAUACCGGAUAAUAUUUUGAACCGCAUGGUUCAAAAGUGAAAGACGGUCUUGCUGCCACUUAUAGAUGGAUCCGCGCUGCAUUAGCUAGUUGGUAAGGUAACGGCUUACCAAGGCAACGAUGCAUAGCCGACCUGAGAGGGUGAUCGGCCACACUGGAACUGAGACACGGUCCAGAGUCCUACGGGAGGCAGCAGUAGGGAAUCUUACGCAAUGGGCGAAAGCAUGACGGAGCAACGCCGCGUGAGUGAUGAAGGUCUUCGGAUCGUAAAACUCUGUUAUUAGGGAAGAAAAUAUGUGUAAGUAACUGUGCACAUCUUGACGGUACCUAAUCAGAAAGCCACGGCUAACUACGUG